RNAcentral lists this transfer RNA (61 nucleotides) under Rhipicephalus sanguineus (brown dog tick). Its description in RNAcentral is "tRNA-Cys". The record is from RNAcentral. Lineage: Eukaryota; Metazoa; Arthropoda; Arachnida; Ixodida; Ixodidae.
AAUCUUAUUGAAAUUAAACUGCAAAUUUAAAAAUUGAUAAAUUAUAUUUAUCUAAGAUUUC